GACGAACCGUCCAAACGUUAUUCGGAAUCACUGGGCUUAAAGGGUGCGUAGGCGGUCCGCUAAGUUGGGUGUGAAAGACCUCGGCCUAACCGAGGAAUUGCGCCCAAAACUGUCGGACUCGAGCAAGGCAGAGGUGAACGGAACUUAGGGUGGAGCGGUGAAAUGCGUUGAUAUCCUAAGGAACACCAGUAGCGAAAGCGGUUCACUGGGCCUUUUCUGACGCUGAUGCACGAAAGCCAGGGGAGCGAAC
Molecule: ribosomal RNA, 250 nt
Filed under: uncultured bacterium
Lineage: Bacteria
Description: partial 16S ribosomal RNA
Rfam family: Bacterial small subunit ribosomal RNA
Source: RNAcentral